ACUUCUCCUUUAUGCCACCAUGUGAAGAAGGAUGUAUUUGCGUCCCUUUCUGCCAUGAUUAUAAGUUUCCUAAGGCCUCCACAGCCCUGCAGAACUGUGAGUCAAUUAAACCUCUUUUCUUUGUAAAUUACCCAGUCUCGGGUAUGUCUUUAUUAGUAGCAUGAGAACAGACUAAUACAGAUAGUAAGGACCCACAGACCCCAUGCGUUACUGAGAGCCUUCGGGUCUGUUUAUAGAUCACUGUCUGCCUUAGCAUGCAAAUCUUGAGGUUUAGUUUCUUUUCUGAAAAAUAUAAUCCCAGUUAGAAAUGAUAUACAUGGUUAUACUGGUUAUAAAUGUCUUAAUUUACUUGUGCAAACCAUACACCGAGAUUUCAGAAAAAACAAUUACAUUCCUUAACAGAUGUUUGUCCAUGAGAUGCUAAAGUCAUUAUGUGAAAAGGAAAAUAUACAGCUGUUGGAUUUGUACGACAGAAAGACUUUGCAAAUAAAGAUGUCUCAUAUCCCCUUUAAUUUGUAGAUGAGGAAAUUGAUUCAUUGGCAUCAUAAGUAGAUGUAUGAUCUUGAAAAAUAUACAGAGCCAAAUCGAACAAAGGGUUUUUAGCUCCCAAUUCAGGGAGUUUACAGCCUCUUCCCUGUGGCUUGCAUGGCUCCUUCUCACACACAAUCCCCCGCCUGCAUGGUUAGAGUGGGCAGUCCAGGGAUCCAGGCUAUUGGAGUGAAGGGAUAAAAACUGUGGGUAACUCACAGCCAAAUUGGCUAAUUUGUUCUGAGUAGUGACUGAUAGAGUGUUCUGAGGCUACAAGGAAAGAAGAGGUCGGCCACAUUUUAUUUUAAUGCAUUUCCAUUAAAGAGUUCAUAAAUUGUUCUUUUGAGAAGACUCUUAAGAGAUUAAGUUUAGGAAAUAUUGAAAAUGGAGGAAAACCUCCCUUUUAAAUAUGAUCUCCUGUGUUCCAUGAUCCAUUUAACAUCAAACCAUUCUUCACUUGUCUUAACACUUUUCUUAACAGUGAGACACGCAUCAAAGUGAAUUCAAAACAAUGUUAAGAGUUUUAAGAUACCUAAUAUAGCUGAAAGCUAUUUCCUUGUUAUUUAAUAAACGUCUGAUUUUAGGCAAAUCCCAUUCUUCCUUAUUUUUGGACAUCAAAUUGUAGUUUUACAUUUAUUUGUUUAGGGUUAUCCACAACAUGAAACACACACAACUCAUUAAAAGUAAAUUAUAUUUUCAGAAGUCCAUCAGCUAAUGCCAGGUAAACUGUACCAGCAACUAAGGGCAGUGGACAUAAUGGUUUGGAGAAUAAUGUCAUGUUGGAGGACAAGGUUGACCCCUGUUCCCUGGCUAAUAUUUAAUCUAUAUUUUAAUGAAAACAUCGGAUGUUUAUUUUUGCAUUGAAAAAAAAGAAUAAGUAUUGAAAUUUUUCUGAAAGGGAAAAACAAUGUAUGUGUAUUUACAAAUGUAGUAUGUGGCACUUACAUUAAAUAAAAAACACCUGCAACUAUACAGGCUGUGAGAGACUUAGGUAAUAUGAAGAUGAUGGUGAUGGUAAUGAUGAUAAUGAUGACAUGAGACAAAUACCAAUAUUUAUUGAGUCCCAUCUCUUAAAUUGUUGUGCCCUUGGCAUUUGACCAUCAUUCUAUUUCCAUGUAACAGCUUUAAAAGGGAGGUGCCAUAAUCCCCAUUUAAGAUGCAGAACCAUCCACUUGUUCACAUCAGCAAUAUUGUGUUCAGUUUUUAGUGCCACUUUUUAAUAACGACAUUGGUAAGCUCUCUCCACAGAAGGAGGAGCAAAAUUGUGAUAUAUCUAGAGGUCAUAUUAUUUAAGAAAUUGAUAAGAAAGUGGAAGAAUAAUUAGGACUUGGGAGUUCAUAAUAACUUCUUUCAGCUACUAAAAUGGUUGUCCUGGGGAAGAAUUGUUUGCAGAGCUCUCCAAAGGCAGAAUGAUGGCUAAUGGAGGAAAGUCAAAUGAAGACUUCGUGUUACUGUCAUGCCUAACAUAAGGAGGAGCUUUGUGACAGGCGGAACUGCUCAUAUAUAAUAUAUGGGAGUAUGAGAUGUGCUGCUUAGUGAGGCAUCUACUCUUUCAUUCACUUAAUCAUUUGUUCAGAAAACGUGUUUUGAACGUCUCUGAUAAAGAACACAUGGUCUAGAGAGAAAUUCAGUGCUACCAAAGCUGGAUCAACCAGGUGACAAAGGAAGCUCCAAGAAUUAAUUGACUAGGAACUGCAAAAAUCCAUGCUUCAGAAAACCAGUGAGAAGACUAAAAACCCUGAUGAUAUUAAGUGAGGCAUAGUGGGUUCCUUAGUCCUGUACCUCCAAGAAUAGUGAAAGAAAGCAAAAUUAAAGAGAGUCAGUGUUGAGCUAUGUGUGCUGCAUUUAAAAUGGUGUGACCUGCUGGAAGCUUCACGAACACUUGUUAAGUGUUCUAUUUAGGAAACUGGAAAUUCUCAUUGUGAUCACACGCAUCUCAUAAAACAAUCCAUCGCUUGGAUUUCUCUCAGAGGUGAAAUAAAGCCAUUCCCACACUGCCUGUUAACAGAAAUAUGCCAGGAAUUAAGGCUUUCUCAUUGUGUCUACCUAAAUUACCUUCUCAGCUGGGUAUUCCUGUCUCACUUUCCAAAUCCUGUUUCCUGGGAGUUGAAAGCUUUCCAGUUGGUGUAUUUAUAGCAGUGGCAAAUCCAUAGAAUCAUUGUUCACAUUCUAGUAACAGUAACAUCUGCAGAAAUUCUUUGCCCCAGAUAGCAAUUUUACCCUCAAACAUUGUAUUGAAAAGUUGAGGGAAAAAAAAGAACAACUUCCAGAGAAUAACUUUCCUAAGCGUUGCACACAGUAGGCACUUGAUAUAGCUGCUAAUAUAAAAAUAUCUAAGACCUUCUGCUGAUUGUCACAUAGUAUAAGGGUAUGUGAGUAAAUGGUUGCUAAACUGCAUUUUGGCACUAACAUAUGACCAGAUCCAUCUGUUGGGAUCCCAUGCCGUGGUCCCAUGGCAGUGAGCUAUUGUGGAAAAUGUAUUCUACUGAGUGGAGGGAGAUGAAGGAAGUGAUCACUAAGCCCCUGAUAACUACCAUUUUGCUUUCUAUUAAUUUUACUACUUCAGAUACUUCAUAUCAUGCAAUCAUACUUGCCUUUAUGUGACUACUAUGUUUCACUUAGCACAAUGUCUCCAAAGUUCAACCGUGUACCAUGUGACAGGGAUUUCUUCCUUUUUUAAGGCUGAAUAACAUUCUGUUAUAUUGGUGUGUGUGUGUGUAUGUGUUUGUGUGUGUGUGUGUGUGUGUGUGUAUAUCACAUUUUCUUUAGCCAGUCAUCUGUUUAUCUGUUUACUGACACUUGUUUGCUUUCACCUCUUGGCUAUUGUGGACAGUGCUGCUAUGAACAUGGAUGAGCAAAUAUUUCUUGAAGACCUUUCUUGUGAAUAUUUUGGAUAUAUGAAUGCUAUAUAUUGAUUUUUUUCAACUUAUGGACUAAAACAG
RNAcentral lists this long non-coding RNA (3470 nucleotides) under Homo sapiens (human). Its description in RNAcentral is "HSALNT0301905". Lineage: Eukaryota; Metazoa; Chordata; Mammalia; Primates; Hominidae. The record is from RNAcentral.